UCUGGGACAAGCCCUGGAAACGGGGUCUAAUACCGGAUGACACUUCCUUCCGCAUGGGAGGAGGUUGAAAGCUCCGGCGGUGCAGGAUGAGCCCGCGGCCUAUCAGCUUGUUGGUGGGGUGAUGGCCUACCAAGGCGACGACGGGUAGCCGGCCUGAGAGGGCGACCGGCCACACUGGGACUGAGACACGGCCCAGACUCCUACGGGAGGCAGCAGUGGGGAAUAUUGCACAAUGGGCGAAAGCCUGAUGCAGCGACGCCGCGUGAGGGAUGACGGCCUUCGGGUUGUAAACCUCUUUCAGCAGGGAAGAAGCGAAAGUGACGGUACCUGCAGAAGAAGCGCCGGCUAACUACGUGCCAGCAGCCGCGGUAAUACGUAGGGCGCAAGCGUUGUCCGGAAUUAUUGGGCGUAAAGAGCUCGUAGGCGGCUUGUCACGUCGGAUGUGAAAGCCCGGGGCUUAACCCCGGGUCUGCAUUCGAUACGGGCAGGCUAGAGUGUGGUAGGGGAGAUCGGAAUUCCUGGUGUAGCGGUGAAAUGCGCAGAUAUCAGGAGGAACACCGGUGGCGAAGGCGGAUCUCUGGGCCAUUACUGACGCUGAGGAGCGAAAGCGUGGGGAGCGAACAGGAUUAGAUACCCUGGUAGUCCACGCCGUAAACGUUGGGAACUAGGUGUUGGCGACAUUCCACGUCGUCGGUGCCGCAGCUAACGCAUUAAGUUCCCCGCCUGG
Molecule: ribosomal RNA, 727 nt
Filed under: Streptomyces sp.
Lineage: Bacteria; Bacillati; Actinomycetota; Actinomycetes; Kitasatosporales; Streptomycetaceae
Description: bacterial SSU rRNA
Rfam family: Bacterial small subunit ribosomal RNA
Source: RNAcentral